This 263-nucleotide ribosomal RNA is filed under the name uncultured archaeon. RNAcentral's name for it is "partial 16S ribosomal RNA". It matches the Rfam family "Archaeal small subunit ribosomal RNA", at positions 719 to 982 of the family's 1478-position model. The record is from RNAcentral.
ACACGACUACAUUAGAUACCCGUGUAGUCCCAGCCGUAAACGAUGCGCGUUAGGUGUAUCGACGACCACGAGUCGUCGAGGUGCCGAAGGGAAACCGUGAAACGUGCCGCCUGGGAAGUACGGUCGCAAGGCUGAAACUUAAGGAAUUGGCGGGGAGCACCACAACAGGUGGAGCCUGCGGUUUAAUUGGACUCAACGCCGGAAAUCUCACCGGAUAAGACAGCGGAAUGAUUGCCGGGCUGAAGACUCUGCAUGACUAUCUG